Molecule: long non-coding RNA, 327 nt
Organism: Onychostoma macrolepis
Lineage: Eukaryota; Metazoa; Chordata; Actinopteri; Cypriniformes; Cyprinidae
Exons: 3
Source: RefSeq, a predicted model, not a curated record
GUCCCGCUCCACAGUCCUUACUACUGUGUGCCUAGCUCCCAUAGAGAAUGAAUUGGAACAACCUGCUCACUUUGUUCCAGUCGACUCUUUAGCCUUUUGAGAAGUAGAUUGGAUUUACUUCCCAGGAUGAACUGAUAGGCAGAUGGCUACAGUCUCUUCACGAUUAGUUUCUGGGAUGGAUGAGUGAAAGUGGCUGCUCUCAAACAUGGUGUAGGGGCAGAAUGGGUCACAUGGAAGGAAAACCACUAACAUACAAGUCGUCUCCUGGUUAUGGGUGUGUGUUGACAAGAACCAAAGGGAAAAGACAAAGAGGCCGUGAGGAAGUUG